RNAcentral lists this ribosomal RNA (632 nucleotides) under Glaciozyma martinii. RNAcentral's name for it is "eukaryotic LSU rRNA". It matches the Rfam family "Eukaryotic large subunit ribosomal RNA", at positions 1 to 624 of the family's 3401-position model. Lineage: Eukaryota; Fungi; Basidiomycota; Microbotryomycetes; Kriegeriales; Camptobasidiaceae. The record is from RNAcentral.
AUUAGACCUCAGAUCAGGCAGGAUUACCCGCUGAACUUAAGCAUAUCAAUAAGCGGAGGAAAAGAAACUAACAAGGAUUCCCCUAGUAACGGCGAGUGAAGCGGGAAGAGCUCAAAUUUGUAAUCUGGCCCUUUCAGGGUCCGAGUUGUAAUCUCGAGAAGUGUUUUCCGCGUCGGACUGCAUACAAGUCUAUUGGAAUAUAGCGUCAUAGUGGUGAGAGCCCCGUAACUGAUGCAGAUGCCCGAUGCUUUGUGAUACACUUUCGAAGAGUCGAGUUGUUUGGGAAUGCAGCUCAAAUUGGGUGGUAAAUUCCAUCUAAAGCUAAAUAUUGGCGAGAGACCGAUAGCGAACAAGUACCGUGAGGGAAAGAUGAAAAGCACUUUGGAAAGAGAGUUAACAGUACGUGAAAUUGUUGGAAGGGAAACGCUUGAAAUCAGACUUGCUAUUCGGAAUUCAGCCGCAAGGUGUACUUUUCGAUUUGCAGGCCAGCAUCAGUUUUUGGGGGUGGAAAAGGGUGGAGAGAAGGUAGCAACCCCGGUUGUGUUAUAGCUCUUCACUGGAUUCAUCUUUGGGGACUGAGGAUCGCAGUGCGCAUUUAUUUGCAAACCUCUCGAGGUUUUCGUACUUAGGAU